RNAcentral lists this ribosomal RNA (497 nucleotides) under uncultured bacterium. Its description in RNAcentral is "partial 16S ribosomal RNA". It matches the Rfam family "Bacterial small subunit ribosomal RNA", at positions 28 to 507 of the family's 1533-position model. The record is from RNAcentral.
GAUGAACGCUGGCGGCGUGCCUAAUACAUGCAAGUCGAGCGAACGGACGAGAAGCUUGCUUCUCUGAUGUUAGCGGCGGACGGGUGAGUAACACGUGGAUAACCUACCUAUAAGACUGGGAUAACUUCGGGAUACCGGAGCUAAUACCGGAUGAUAUUUUGAACCGCAUGGUUCAAUAGUGAAAGACGGUCUUGCUGUCACUUAUAGAUGGAUCCGCGCUGCAUUAGCUAGUUGGUAAGGUAACGGCUUACCAAGGCAACGAUGCAUAGCCGACCUGAGAGGGUGAUCGGCCACACUGGAACUGAGACACGGUCCAGACUCCUACGGGAGGCAGCAGUAGGGAAUCUUCCGCAAUGGGCGAAAGCCUGACGGAGCAACGCCGCGUGAGUGAUGAAGGUCUUCGGAUCGUAAAACUCUGUUAUUAGGGAAGAACAAAUGUGUAAGUAACUGUGCACAUCUUGACGGUACCUAAUCAGAAAGCCACGGCUAACUACGUG